CAGCCGCCGCGGGAAUACGUAGGGUGCAAGCGUUAAUCGGAUUACUGGGCGUAAAGCGUGCGCAGGCGGUCCGCUAAAACAGAUGUGAAAUCCCCGGGCUUAACCUGGGAACUGCAUUUGUGACUGGCGGGCUAGAGUAUGGCAGAGGGGGGUAGAAUUCCACGUGUAGCAGUGAAAUGCGUAGAGAUGUGGAGGAAUACCGAUGGCGAAGGCAGCCCCCUGGGCUAAUACUGACGCUCAUGCACGAAAGCGUGGGGAGCAAACAGGAUUAGAUACCCCGGUAGUCCCUGUCUCUUAUACA
Molecule: ribosomal RNA, 301 nt
Filed under: uncultured bacterium
Lineage: Bacteria
Description: partial 16S ribosomal RNA
Rfam family: Bacterial small subunit ribosomal RNA
Source: RNAcentral